UCUCAAAAACCCCUUCCUUUGGUGGAGAGGAAUUUGGACUUGGAGGUCUUUUGCUGGUUUCNCCUUGAAGCGAGCUCCUCCC
This 82-nucleotide unclassified non-coding RNA is filed under the name Russula sp. NS2087. Its description in RNAcentral is "partial internal transcibed spacer 2". Lineage: Eukaryota; Fungi; Basidiomycota; Agaricomycetes; Russulales; Russulaceae. The record is from RNAcentral.